GGCCCCGUAGCUCAACUGAAUAGAGCAUCCCGACUAAGAAGUCGGGAAGGUUUCAGGUCCGAAUCCUGGCGGGAUUA
RNAcentral lists this transfer RNA (77 nucleotides) under Chitinophagaceae bacterium. RNAcentral describes it as "tRNA-OTHER". It matches the Rfam family "tRNA". Rfam says of the family: Transfer RNA (tRNA) molecules are approximately 80 nucleotides in length. The record is from RNAcentral. Lineage: Bacteria; Pseudomonadati; Bacteroidota; Chitinophagia; Chitinophagales; Chitinophagaceae.